Molecule: ribosomal RNA, 484 nt
Filed under: uncultured bacterium
Lineage: Bacteria
Description: partial 16S ribosomal RNA
Rfam family: Bacterial small subunit ribosomal RNA
Source: RNAcentral
AUUGAACGCUGGCGGCAGGCCUAACACAUGCAAGUCGAGCGGAUGAAGGGAGCUUGCUCCUGGAUUCAGCGGCGGACGGGUGAGUAAUGCCUAGGAAUCUGCCUGGUAGAGGGGGAUAACGUCCGGAAACGGGCGCUAAUACCGCAUACGUCCUGAGGGAGAAAGUGGGGGAUCUUCGGACCUCACGCGAUCAGAUGAGACUAGGUCGGAUUAGCUAGUUGGUGGGGUAAAGGCCUACCAAGGCGACGAUCCGUAACUGGUCUGAGAGGAUGAUCAGCCACACUGGAACUGAGACACGGUCCAGACUCCUACGGGAGGCAGCAGUGGGGAAUAUUGGACAAAGGGCGAAAGCCUGAUCCAGCCAUGCCGCGUGUGUGAAGAAGGUCUUCGGAUUGUAAAGCACUUUAAGUUGGGAGGAAGGGCAGUAAGUUAAUACCUUGCUGUUUUGACGUUACCAACAGAAUAAGCACCGGCUAACUUCGUG